This 253-nucleotide ribosomal RNA is filed under the name uncultured bacterium. RNAcentral's name for it is "partial 16S ribosomal RNA". It matches the Rfam family "Bacterial small subunit ribosomal RNA", at positions 524 to 776 of the family's 1533-position model. The record is from RNAcentral.
UACAGAGGUCCCGAGCGUUGUUCGGAUUUACUGGGCGUAAAGAGCGCGCAGGCGGUCGUUCAAGUCGCGUGUGAAAGCCCCCGGCUCAACUGGGGAGGGUCACGCGAUACUGAUCGACUCGAAGGCAGGAGAGGGUAGUGGAAUUCCCGGUGUAGUGGUGAAAUGCGUAGAUAUCGGGAGGAACACCAGUGGCGAAGGCGACUACCUGGCCUGUUCUUGACGCUGAGGCGCGAAAGCUAGGGGAGCAAACGGG